GACUCCUUCGGGGGUCAGUGGCGAACGGGUUGCGUAACACGUUGUAGCAACCUGCCUGCUGGUGGGGGAUAACCCGGGGGAACCCGGGCUAAUACCGCAUGAGUUCUUCCGGCCGAUUGGCUGGGAGAGGAAAGCUCCUGCAAGGGAGCGCCAGCAGAGGGGCUCGCGGCGUAUCAGGUAGUUGGUGGGGUAACGGCCCACCAAGCCGACGACGCGUAGCCGAUCUGAGAGGAUGAUCGGCCACAUUGGGACUGAGAUACGGCCCAGACUCCUACGGGAGGCAGCAGUGGGGAAUCUUGCGCAAUGGGCGAAAGCCUGACGCAGCGACGCCGCGUGCGGGAGGAAGCUCUUCGGGGUGUAAACCGCUGUCAGAGGGGAAGAAAUGCGCGGGGAGGAAAUGCUCCGCGUUUGACGGUACCCUCAGAGGAAGCACCGGCUAACUCUGUGCCAGCAGCCGCGGUAAUACAGAGGGUGCGAGCGUUGUUCGGAAUUACUGGGCGUAAAGCGCGCGCAGGCGGCUCUUUAAGUCUGUCGGUCAAACGCCGGGGCUUAACCCCGUGCUCGCCGGAGAUACUGGAGGGCUGGAGACAUGUAGAGGCAAGCGGAAUUCCGGGUGUAGCGGUGGAAUGCGUAGAGAUCCGGAAGAACACCGGAGGCGAAGGCGGCUUGCUGGACAUGGUCUGACGCUGAGGCGCGAAAGCGUGGGGAGCGAACAGGAUUAGAUACCCUGGUAGUCCACGCCGUAAACGAUGGGCACUAGACGCGGGGGGGAUCGACCCUCUCCGUGUCGAAGCUAACGCGAUAAGUGCCCCGCCUGGGGGAGUACGGCCGCAAGGCUGAAACUCAAAGGAAUUGACGGGGGCCCGCACAAGCGGUGGAGCAUGUGGUUUAAUUCGAAGCA
This 901-nucleotide ribosomal RNA is filed under the name uncultured Bacillota bacterium. RNAcentral's name for it is "bacterial SSU rRNA". It matches the Rfam family "Bacterial small subunit ribosomal RNA", at positions 69 to 958 of the family's 1533-position model. The record is from RNAcentral. Lineage: Bacteria; Bacillati; Bacillota.